UCCAGAAAAAACAGCGCCCAUGCCCCGCUCCCUCGAUCCCUAGCUAGCCAUCGCUCCUCUCCCCUUCUCCACCCGCCGCCACCGCCACCGCACCUCAAUCUCGAGCCAUUUCCUUCUCUCCGUCUGUACCUCCUGCGCUACCGCCGCUCCUACCCGGACCAUCCACGUCCUUCUGACCCACGCACGGCGCCUGCACUCCACGCCUCCACGCGACGCCACCACACCAAGGGGCGCUGAUGGCCGCCACCGGUGUGGGUGGUGGACUUGCGGGCCACCUCAUGCCGACGCGGUGCCUCCCGACGACCACCACCACCACCUCCUCCUCCUCCUCCUCCUCCUCCUCCUCCUCCUCCUCAAGCCAUCACCGCCGACUCCCCUCCACCAUGGCUUGCAUGCGUGAGCCCGACGCUGGAGGACGACGUCGACCAUGCAGUGGAGCCUAGCGGGCGUGGACCGACACAGUGGUCAUCGCCUAGGAUCGAUGACCGACGCUGAAGAGGAGGGGGGCCUCUUCCUGCUGCUAUCUUCCCCAUACCCUACGGGCUGGAUCUAGAGAAUAACUUACAAGGAACAGAAAUAUUUGUAUCGAGAGAGGGUGAGGGGCUGAUUUGUCUAGCACUUUUCUCUUCCAGCAGAUAUACAAGUUGUUGCCGACGACUCCGGCCGGGCAGGUGAUGUUAUGCUUGACCACUUCCUGCAUAAGAUUGUUGACUUGUUGACUUCUGUCUCAAAUGUCGCUCAGGUUCUUUCUCCAUGUGCCAAUCCAGCUCAGCUUGACUGUCAUAGCAAAAAGGGACAAGGACGGUGACUUCAACAACGAUAGGGCGGAAGCCAGUAUGCCUGGACCAACAAGCCGGUGUUCUUUCUUCCCUUCUUUCAUUACGUUGGGAGUGGAUAAUCAACUUUUGUUUUUCUUUUCUAUACCUUCUUAUUUAUGCAUCUUAGUUAGGAAGCUAACUAUGUUUCUUUGCAUCAUCAUGGAAUAUUUUUUGCAGGAUUUGCAGACAUUUGCUAAGCUUAAAUACGUGAAUAUGGACAUGUAGUACUAUUCAUUAGAGUGGACAGGUGAAUGUAGACAAUUUCGAUGGUUUAUUAAUUUUUCAGAGGUUUGUGAUGCUAUUAUACAUGUUCAUCAAUUUAUUAUGGCUGUUCUUGCACAUAGAUCGACAACCAGCCUAUUGGUGUUGUUGCAAACUCUUUGUUGUUACAUAAUUUCAAAUCAUUUUUCUUAAUCAUGUACAGAUAUUUCAGUAAAUGACUGCUUUAAACCAUACCUAAUAUCAUUAUAAUUAGUAACCCAUAUUGUGUCACAUAACUAGAUAUUGGCAGUCAAUUAUCAAUUGUCAUGCAGAUAUUGAGUUCAACAACUUCAGCUGCACAUGAAAAAUGAGGAAUAUUUGGAAGUGCUUGAGCUGAGUUAUUUCCAUGUUUUAUUUUUAGGAAUCCUCUCUGUAUUCAUCUUGUUAUACCUGAACUUAGUUUUUGUUGUUAUCGAUUCUUGGUGUUGGAAGCUAGGCAUAGUUAGGACGUCUUCCAGAAAAAUAAACAAUGUAUCUAAAAGAUCAAACAUUAGAGUGUACAUUCUUGCACUACAAGCUUGUCAAAAAUCCUUAGUUACUAUUCUUCCAGUACACAGAGAUAAGGAGAUUGGGAGUACACGGAGAUAACAAGAUUGGGGGCAUGUCUGGUGGUUGCAAUGAAAUUAUUUAUAUUGGUGCUUACUGAUUGUUGUACAUAUUUUUUCACCGACAUAAUAGGACUAAGUAAUUUGAUCAUAAGAUAGGUAAUAAUUGACUUCUGAAAACUGAACUAGCCAGUUAAAGUUUCUGGAAAUAUUGCAGAGCUAACUUACCUGAUGGCCAUGAUAUAUAUUUAAGUGAUAAUUGCUUUUUGAUUGCGUGAACUAAGGCUACAAGGAACUAAGGAGCGGCACUUGGAGAGGAAGGGUGCCAAAAUCCAAAAAGGAAUUUGGCAUGCAGCCACUCCACUGACACAACAAUCUCGUUACGUGACGCCGCGUAGAUGCCCAUUGCAGCGGUGGCCACUGACACCGACGACAAUGUGGCAUUGCAGCAAGCGACCCCGAAGCUGGCGAGGCUCGCAGCAGACCUCUGUUGUGCACGCCCAUCCGACCCUACCCGACGGUGUUCCCUGAGCCAUGGUGAGAUGUGGAGUAAGAGGAGACACCAGACCAGCUCGCACUGCAGUUGGCAUGGUUAACAUUACAAUCUUGGAAAGUGAUCCCCUCUAUAGACGAAGGAUUUAUGGACGUACGAAGGUACUACAGAAUGUGGCAUAGAUUAUCUAGAAAAUGGACUGCUUCCUCCUGAUGCCCAAUCAUGGUGUCAGGCUUCAUUUGAUCCUAAACAACUGCUUUGAUCAGUAAUUUAUCUACUCUUCAUCACUGCCUGCAAUUUUGAUCAUUGACUAUAGUUUGUAAAUCAACUUGAAUUUAACUUGGUAAGUUUUAACUGUCUAUUUUUUUGCUUAUCGGCUAUGUAUGGAGGUUGUCACAUGUUUGAUUGGACUUCAAUUUGGACAUGUAGUCCUACAUUUCGAGGUAUAAGAUUGUUGUUUGUUUCUAUAUUUUAACAUUUCUUCUUAUGGCGUAGAAACUGUAUUCUAUUUCCCCCUUUUUGGGCUAACUUGUGUGUAGAAGCUCAAAGGAAGAAUUAUCGACUGGCUAAUCUCUUCUUUCAACCUGUUAGAACUUACAUUUUUCCUGCUUAAAGUAUUACAUGAAUACACUAGAUAAUCACUGGAGCUUGCAGAGUUGACGCAGUAUAACAGAUUAGCCUGAUGCUAAAAGAUGUAGUCAUGCAGACCUUGCCAAUGAGUGAAUGUUGGAUUAGGUCCUGAUCAUCCGGAUGUUGCGGCAACUCUUAUAAAUGUGGCAAUGAUGUACCAGGAUGCGAGCAAUAUGAGUACUGCUCUUAGGUAUCUUCAGGAAGCAUUUAAGAAGAAUGAGUGCCUUUUAGGCCCAGGUCAUAUUCAAACAACAGUUCGCUAUCAUGCUCUCGCCAUUGCAUUUAGCUGUAUGGGUGCAUACAAGCUUUCAGUUUAGGUUAGUUCUGACGAAAAAAUGGCGGAAUAACAUUGUGACACAUUUUACUGACUUCAUGAUUUUGGUGGCAGCAUGAAACCAAGGCGCAUGAUAUACUGGUAAAACAGUUAGGGAGUGAUGAUUCACAAACAAAAUAUUCAAAAAUUAGUUGAAUAUAUUUAAGGGGCAAGAACAGCAAGUAUGUGCUGAAAAAUUAUUUCACAUGGUUGCUUCACUCUUGGUUCAGGGAUUCUUGCACAUUCCCAAAGUAGCAACUUCAAGUUAUAGGUAGGAGAAAGUUGCACUUAAUGGAUUCAGAUCAUGCGCAUUACAUUUUUUCAUAGGGGCAUAUGUUUUUUUCGUGAAUACGCAAAGCUUGUGUAUCAUUCCAUUAAUAGAAAAUAGAAUGAGUACAGUCGAGGGUACAACACAUGACAUGAACGUGCAAAGGCAUGAACAUGGAACCCGGAGCAGAGAGACAAGGGAUGCUCAGCCCGAACAUGGAAAAUACACAACUAAACCCACCAAUCCUAGAACUAGGGAGGCAGACCAAACAAGCAUGACAUCGUGCAUCUCCAAAUCCAACACUGGGGACGCCGCAAGCAAGCAAGAUAGCGCCUUCAAGAAGGAGAACGACGUCGCGAAGCCGCCACCAUCCGAUCUGGAGAACUGGACCUAGGGUUUCCCACAAUGCUCGAAAAGAUGUUUAUUGGAUCUCAAGUUUAUUCAAAGUGGGCCACGAGAACUUUAUGAAUCUGCUUGGCUAUUGGUGAAGAACAAAAUCCUUUCAUCAGAGGUAUGAUGUUUGAAUAAGGUCAAAAUAGGGCUCUCUUCGAGCAUCUCCAUUGUAGGUGUGUACUGAUUCUAUUAAUUUUCUUACUGUCAACAGUAUGGUUCCUAUAAGGUGCAGCCAGUUCAACAGUUUUAGCAUGUGUUGGUAGCCAACAAUUGCUAAUAAUCAGUAUUUGAUAAUGCUUUGGAUUAUUCUGUAGUUCUUUUUUUACCGCAGUUAUGUUGCAGUCAAAGAUACUGAGAACCUGGACUGGAUGACCCAACUUCAAAUGGCAAUGGGGAUAGCUUACUGUCGAGAGCACAUGCUUAAGCUGAAUCUACCUGCUAGGCCAAGGAACCUCAUCUCAACAGUUAUGUUGCAACGGUGUCAGAUCUUGAUGUCUGGAAUGGCACCAAGGGAUCUGAUUCUGUCACUGAUGAUUGCAUCAUGCUAUAUUUCAUUGUGCAUUAGUAUGGCAUCAUGCUUAAGCUGAAUCUACAUACUAUAGCUUACUGACGAAGAUAAUGGCUGCAUCUUUUUUUAGCUUGUCUCGUCGCAUCUAAUAGAAAACAUACAACUUGAUAUAUUCUGUCGGAUGCAUAUCUUUUUUUCUUGGAAGUUGAACACUCACAGCAAUGAUGGUAAACCAGGGGGCAUUUAUUUUUUUUAGUUACAGAUUUUCUCAGCAGUGUUGGUGACGUAUGAUAUUUCAUUGGGUGGCAAAUUAACAUAUUUUGCCUCUUUUUCAGAUAGCUAAAGAUAGUUUUGCUGGCCCCUUGUUUCUUGGAGAUAAUCUCUUUUGCGAUGUGGAAUAUUUGGAAACAGAUGAAUGCUUGGAGUUUUUUUAAGGGAAGCAAGCAUCUUUGUCUGGAUGGAUCUGGUCACAUAGAGUUAAAACCAAAGUCCACUUCAUGUGUUGAAAUGUUGGGAGAUUAAAGUUUAUGCUCUAUUCACACACCAUGGAGGCAACCAUCGCAGAGUCAUAGAGGGGGCAUCCAGAUAAAGAUGGUUAUGAGUUGAGAAUGAAAAUUUAUUAUACUUGUAUACAAGUACCAUGCGAGUGAAGCGAAAGACAAUAUUCCUGACGUUUUAUAGGAAUUUCUCAAGCACAUCAAGGAGAUCUUAGUUUAUAAUAGAUACUCCCUCUAUAAAGAAAUAUAAGAGUGUGUAGAUCACUAGACGCUCUUAUAUUUCUUUACGAAGGGAGUAAUUAUUAGUGCUCUCUUUGUAUACAUUGUCAAAUUACAAUUUAAGUGGAGUGGAUUUUAUUUUUUCUAUACAUGUGAAAUUUGAGUA
Triticum aestivum (bread wheat) is the source of this 5111-nucleotide long non-coding RNA. RefSeq lists it as uncharacterized. The transcript has 7 exons. NCBI's taxonomy places the organism in Eukaryota, Viridiplantae, Streptophyta, Magnoliopsida, Poales, Poaceae. The record is from RefSeq and is a predicted model, not a curated record.